RNAcentral lists this ribosomal RNA (459 nucleotides) under uncultured bacterium. Its description in RNAcentral is "partial 16S ribosomal RNA". It matches the Rfam family "Bacterial small subunit ribosomal RNA", at positions 338 to 795 of the family's 1533-position model. The record is from RNAcentral.
CCUACGGGAGGCAGCAGUGAGGAAUAUUGGUCAAUGGGCGGGAGCCUGAACCAGCCAAGUCGCGUGAGGGAAGAAGGUACUGAGUAUUGUAAACCUCUUUUGCCAGAGGACAAAGCCGGCUACGGGUGGCCGUAAGAGGGUACCUGGAGAAUAAGCAUCGGCAAACUCCGUGCCAGCAGCCGCGGUAAUACGGAGGAUGCAAGCGUUAUCCGGAUUUAUUGGGGUUAAGGGGUGCGCAGGCGGCUUGUAAGGUCAGCGGUAAAAUGUCGGGGCUCAACCCCGGGCGGCCGUUGAUACUGGCGUGCUAGAGUGGGAGAGAGGUAUGCGGAAUUCAUGGUGUAGCGGUGAAAUGCAUAGAGAUCACGAAGAACCCCGAUUGCGAAGGCAGCCUACCGGCUUCACACUGACGCUGAGGCACGAAAGCGUGGGUAUCGAACAGGAUUAGAUACCCUUGUAGUC